GGGCGUAGUUUAAUGGUAGAACAUGAGCUUCCCAAGCUCAGAGCGCGGGUUCGAUUCCCGUCGCCC
Molecule: transfer RNA, 66 nt
Filed under: Streptomyces albus
Lineage: Bacteria; Bacillati; Actinomycetota; Actinomycetes; Kitasatosporales; Streptomycetaceae
Rfam family: tRNA
About the family: Transfer RNA (tRNA) molecules are approximately 80 nucleotides in length. Their secondary structure includes four short double-helical elements and three loops (D, anti-codon, and T loops). Further hydrogen bonds mediate the characteristic L-shaped molecular structure. tRNAs have two regions of fundamental functional importance: the anti-codon, which is responsible for specific mRNA codon recognition, and the 3' end, to which the tRNAs corresponding amino acid is attached (by aminoacyl-tRNA synthetases). tRNAs cope with the degeneracy of the genetic code in two manners: having more than one tRNA (with a specific anti-codon) for a particular amino acid; and 'wobble' base-pairing, i.e. permitting non-standard base-pairing at the 3rd anti-codon position.
Source: RNAcentral